Non-coding RNA from Acanthosepion pharaonis, 111 nucleotides. NCBI's taxonomy places the organism in Eukaryota, Metazoa, Mollusca, Cephalopoda, Sepiida, Sepiidae. The record is from the annotation of a GenBank genome assembly.
CGGUCACAUUGUGUUGAAACACCAGUUCCAGUACGAUCACCGAAGUUAAGCAACUUCGAGUCUGAUUGGUACUUAGAUGGAUGAAAGCUUAAGAAUACCAGGUGUCGUAAU